CGCGUAGGCGGCCACCGCAAGUCAAUUGUGAAAUCUCCGGGCUUAACUCGGAAAGGUCAACUGAUACUGCGGGGCUAGAGUGCAGAAGGGGCAACUGGAAUUCUCGGUGUAGCGGUGAAAUGCGUAGAUAUCGAGAGGAACACCUGCGGCGAAGGCGGGUUGCUGGGCUGACACUGACGCUGAGGCGCGAAAGCUAGGGGAGCGAACG
This 208-nucleotide ribosomal RNA is filed under the name uncultured bacterium. RNAcentral's name for it is "partial 16S ribosomal RNA". It matches the Rfam family "Bacterial small subunit ribosomal RNA", at positions 568 to 774 of the family's 1533-position model. The record is from RNAcentral.